This 421-nucleotide ribosomal RNA is filed under the name uncultured bacterium. RNAcentral describes it as "bacterial SSU rRNA". It matches the Rfam family "Bacterial small subunit ribosomal RNA", at positions 358 to 795 of the family's 1533-position model. The record is from RNAcentral.
GGAAUUUUCCGCAAUGGGCGAAAGCCUGACGCAGCAAUGCCGCGUGAGUGAAGAAGGCCCUCGGGUCGUAAAGCUCUUUAUCUUCGGGAAGAUGAUGACGGUACCGAAGGAAGAAGCACCGGCUAACUACGUGCCAGCAGCCGCGGUAAUACGUAGGGUGCAAGCGUUGUUCGGAAUCACUGGGCGUAAAGGGCGUGUAGGCGGAACGAUUAGCGAGGGGUGAAAUCCCGGGGCUCAACCCCGGAACUGCUCUUCGAACUGUCGAUCUAGAGAAGGUCAGGGGCCGGCGGAAUUCCUGGUGUAGAGGUGAAAUUCGUAGAGAUCAGGAGGAACAUCGGAGGCGAAGGCGGCCGGCUGGGGCCAUUCUGACGCUGAGGCGCGAAAGCGUGGGGAGCAAACAGGAUUAGAUACCCCAGUAGUC